AGUCGAGGAAAUUUCCUGCAGAGAUAAUAGAGGUUUCAGAAAUAGUCAUAGUUGAUAUGAAGGUUGCUGCUAUCAAUUCAACUUACUGCUUUUUUAGGAGGGAAGUACUUUCUGAUAAAAAGCCUUUGCUCAAAUGUUGUUCUUUCUUCUACAUAGCAAUAGUUCAAUUACAAUACUGACAAUAAGGAUGUGUCUAUUUCCCAGAUUUUAACUUGUUUGCUCUUAAAUACAUGUAGCAAUACAUUAGGCCAAACUUUGCAUAAGGUCGUUUCCUUAUAAUUUCAGGCAUGCUACUGCUUCCAAUUGAAAAUUAUUAUUUUUUAAUAGUUGUUAAAUAGUCAUCCAUUAUUUUGUAUAAACAGAUAGUAAAGAUUAUUAUCUCAAGACAAUGAGAAAAGAAGAAACUUUCUCUAUAAAUACUGGCAAAGGGUGUCGCAAAAGAAUUCACAAAGCAAAGUUUACAAUUAAAAAUGAUAGUGAAUCAGAUGAUGUGCAGGAGCACAGUAUUCCUAAAAAGCUGAAGCCAUCCAGGGCAAAGAAAACAGAGGCUUGCUGCUCAGCCAGUCUUGCUUCACUUAUAAAAGAGUGAUUAACCAAGGAGAGUCAGUCAGAUUAAGGUAGUGCACUUUGCAAUGAUAAAUGCAAGUAUAAAAAAGACGCCUUGGAACUCAAAGAGAGAGUAAAAAUGUUGGAAAAUCAGAUGAAAAGACUUAAUGAGCAAAUUGACAAUGGCAAUGAUUUAAGAACUUCAUUAAAAAAGUAAAGAAGAUAUGUGUGUACCUUGGAAGAUU
Molecule: long non-coding RNA, 791 nt
Organism: Xenia sp. Carnegie-2017
Lineage: Eukaryota; Metazoa; Cnidaria; Anthozoa; Malacalcyonacea; Xeniidae
Exons: 5
Source: RefSeq, a predicted model, not a curated record